GUUGUACCAGUUGUAGUUACCAUCAGCCACGAUUCCGAGGCCGCCGGGGACUGUCCAGUUCAUCGAGGCGGAAACCUGAUUGCUCCACGUCAUAUUCGUGGACUGGUUGGCGAUCGUGUACCAGGACUUUGACAUCCUGGUGCGGCCACCGGCGGUAAGUUCCACUAUGUCAUUGCGGUAGGUAAGACGAAGUCUCUCCAUGAGACCGACUGUCUGAAGCUUGUUCAAAGUGAAGUCAAGCGAGUGGAAAUCCUCAAGGAACUUGUCGGCGAGGAAGUUCUCCGCAUCAUAAUUGUCACCUUCGUAGUAUUUGCCCAUGUCGAAUGAGGAAGAACCCACAUAAGACGAUGACUUGGAAUAACUUGCCCUGGACAUCAGGAACACACUGAAGUUGGACUUCGCUAUAGGCGAGUUCAACAUGAUUCGGAAGCUGCCGUUGUAGGAGUCCUUUCCAUUGACAGGAAUGGAAUAUUGCGCUCCGUUUGUCCCGUACCACUGCGCGUUCACAAUCGGAUUCUCAACUAUUCCACCGUCGAGACCAGCGUUAACAGAAAGGAAAUUUUUCUUGUUGGUAUGACGGAAAUCACUCCUGAAACUAUGGUUGAAAUACGGUUCAAGGUACAUGUUACCGAAAGAGACACUCAACGGAUUUGUGUUGUCAGGAACCCUCAUGAGUUGGCUUACCGACGGUUGCUGCGAGCGGCCGAAAUAGAACCCACGCACAUUGGUAUUGUCAUCUAUGUCGUACCACAGCAUGGCCUGAGGAGCCCAGUUCAAAACGUGGUUGUCAUAGGUGUCAAAGCCGGUGGUCUCAUUAUGGGUAUCGGUCGGGUUGGCGCUCACACCGGCCUGAGCGCGAAGCUUGUCCUUCUGAUAGACGAAGUUGGCGCCGAUGGUUUGGUUGACAUAGCGGUUGACAAUCUCACUGGAAUACACAUCAUUAAGUACUUCCCCAUUAGGAUUAUAGACGAGAUUUGAGGCCCCGAAGUCCGAAACCACCCCGCUGUCGUAAGUGUUCUUUGUGGAAGUGCUCCGGUUCCACGAUGCCUCAUAGUUGGCCUCUACGAAGAAUCCCUUGCCGAGAGGUUCGGUAUAGGUCAAUCGUCCACUCAAUGACUGAGAGUUCUGCUCUUGGUUGUAACGCUGGUUGAUGAUGGAAUCCGAAGCGGUCUCGAACUCAUCGAAAGUCCUUGUAAGAGACUGGUUGAAUCCAUCCAUGUCAUUCCCGCUGAAGUUGUAACGCGCGUUGAAAGAGAGGGUUCUGCCAGCCUUGCCGAGUUUCUGCCGGAAGAGGAAGAAGCCAUUGGUCUUCCAGUUCUGGUUCGAGCCCGUAUUGCUCGUGAAGCCUUCGUUGGUCCGCGAUGCCACACCGUUUCUCUCGGUCAAAGUGGAAAACUCCGAGAUUUCAUUGAAAUCUCCGUUGCCGAAGCUGACCUGAGGCUGGAAAAGAAUCGAGGUGUUCUCCGAGAACUUAUGCUCAAGACGGACUCCGAAACGAUGGCCACACUGUCUCCUCCCGAGACUCAGUGAAGUUGAAAUGUUUGUGAUGAUGCAAUCUACCCGCGGCUAGACGGAAAGACCCCAUGAACCUUUACUGCAGCUUUGCAUUGAACUGUGAACCGAUUUGUGUAGGAUAGGUGGGAGGCAGAGAAGAGGCCACGCCAGUGGCCUUGGAGCCGACCUUGAAAUACCACCCUGAUUUGUUUGCGGUUCUAACCACGGACAGUGAUCCUGUCUUGGGACCGUGCAUGGUAGGCAGUUUGACUGGGGCGGUCUCCUCCUAAAGGGUAACGGAGGAGUACGAAGGUACGCUAGGUACGGUCGGAAAUCGUGCUGAUAGUGCAAUGGCAAAAGCGUGCUUGACUGCGAGAGCAACAACUCGAGCAGAUGCGAAAGCAGGUCAUAGUGAUCCGGUGGCUCUGAAUGGAAGGGCCAUCGCUCAACGGAUAAAAGGUACUCUGGGGAUAACAGGCUGAUACCGCCCAAGAGUUCAUAUCGACGGCGGUGUUUGGCACCUCGAUGUCGGCUCAUCUCAUCCUGGGGCUGUAGUCGGUCCCAAGGGUAUGGCUGUUCGCCAUUUAAAGAGGUACGUGAGCUGGGUUUAAAACGUCGUGAGACAGUUUGGUCCCUAUCUGCCGUGGGCGUUGGAAGAUUGACGGGGGCUGCUCCUAGUACGAGAGGACCGGAGUGGACGCACCUCUGGUGUACCGGUUGUCACGCCAGUGGCAUUGCCGGGUAGCUAAGUGCGGAAGAGAUAACCGCUGAAAGCAUCUAAGCGGGAAACUUGCCUGAAGAUGAGUCUUCCCGGAGGUUGAACCUCCCUCAAGAGUCGUCCGAGACCAGGACGUCGAUAGGUCAGGUGUGUAAGCGCUGUAAGGCGUUGAGCUAACUGAUACUAAUUGCUCGUGAGGCUUGAUC
Molecule: ribosomal RNA, 2418 nt
Filed under: human gut metagenome
Description: bacterial LSU rRNA
Rfam family: Bacterial large subunit ribosomal RNA (bases 1536-2407)
Source: RNAcentral